GGUUUCACCGUGUUAGCCAGGAGAAGUGCCCCAAAUUUCUAAUCCCUUAAGCCAGGACCUUGGUAGCCCUGAGGUGUGAUGGGAGACUCUGGACAGAACCACCUGUUGACCUAUCCAGGACCCAAAUAUGCACCACAGCACCAAGAAGUUUCCGGUCCCGGUACAGAUCAGUGAGGAAGAGGCUAUUGACAAGUGUGGAUUUGCCCAGGCCAGACUCUCCUGAGAGGAGAGAGGACAGAGGCACCAAAUCAGAAGGGACCCUUCUCUGGGCUGUCUGAUAGUCUGCAGAGACACAGCUGCUUCCGUGCUCUGGGAGAGAGGGACUCCUUGGAGAUCUGAUCUCACUAGUAGUCGUAAUUCUUUGGAUGGGCUCAGUUUGUACUGCUUCAUCCUUUGGAGAAGGCUCCAGACCCUCCUUUACUCUCCCGAGAUUCUAGAAAUUCUCAGGACUCAUCCAGAGAAGGAAUCAGCCAGAAGAUCCUAUGAAGACAAGAUCAAACCAAACACGCUGUGUUAGCCCCAGUUUUAAUAAGAAAUCUGACUGAAAACAAAUGGUUGAAUGUGCUGCUAACAGAGAGGGCCAAACGAUGAUGUCUAUUGUGGCAGCUGAACAAAGUGAGACUUACAGAACUGGAACUGCUGCCCUGACA
RNAcentral lists this non-coding RNA (650 nucleotides) under Pan troglodytes (chimpanzee). The record is from RNAcentral. Lineage: Eukaryota; Metazoa; Chordata; Mammalia; Primates; Hominidae.